Molecule: ribosomal RNA, 772 nt
Filed under: uncultured Aeromonadaceae bacterium
Lineage: Bacteria; Pseudomonadati; Pseudomonadota; Gammaproteobacteria; Aeromonadales; Aeromonadaceae
Description: bacterial SSU rRNA
Rfam family: Bacterial small subunit ribosomal RNA
Source: RNAcentral
GAUGAACGCUGGCGGCGUGCUUAACACAUGCAAGUCGAACGAGAGAUACAGGAGGAAGUUUUCGGAUGGAAUCCGGUAGAUCGAGUGGCGGACGGGUGAGUAACGCGUGGGGAACCUGCCUCAUACAGGGGGAUAACAGUUGGAAACGACUGUUAAUACCGCAUAAGACCACAGAGUCGCAUGACUCAGGGGUAAAAACUCCGGUGGUAUGGGAUGGACCCGCGUUCGAUUAGCCAGUUGGCGGGGUAACGGCCCACCAAAGCGACGAUCGAUAGCCGAUUUGAGAGAAUGACCGGCCACAUUGGGACUGAGACACGGCCCAAACUCCUACGGGAGGCAGCAGUGGGGAAUAUUGCACAAUGGGGGGAACCCUGAUGCAGCGACGCCGCGUGAGUGAAGAGGGUUUUCGGAUCGUAAAGCUCUGUUGUAAGAGAAGAACGAGUGUGAGAGUGGAAAGUUCACACUGUGACGGUAACUUACCAGAAAGGGACGGCUAACUACGUGCCAGCAGCCGCGGUAAUACGUAGGUCCCGAGCGUUAUCCGGAUUUAUUGGGCGUAAAGCGAGCGCAGGCGGUUAGAUAAGUCUGAAGUUAAAGGCUGUGGCUUAACCAUAGUACGCUUUGGAAACUGUUUAACUUGAGUGCAGAAGGGGAGAGUGGAAUUCCAUGUGUAGCGGUGAAAUGCGUAGAUAUAUGGAGGAACACCGGUGGCGAAAGCGGCUCUCUGGUCUGUAACUGACGCUGAGGCUCGAAAGCGUGGGGAGCGAACAGG